UGGGGAAUAUUGCACAAUGGAGGGAACUCUGAUGCAGCGACGCCGCGUGAACGAAGAAGGCUUUCGAGUCGUAAAGUUCUUUUAUAUGGGAAGAUAAUGACGGUACCAUAAGAAAAAGCUCCGGCUAACUACGUGCCAGCAGCCGCGGUAAUACGUAGGGGGCUAGCGUUGUCCGGAAUCACUGGGCGUAAAGGGUUCGCAGGCGGAAAUGCAAGUCAGGUGUAAAAGGCAGUAGCUUAACUACUGUAAGCAUUUGAAACUGCAUAUCUUGAGAAGAGUAGAGGUAAGUGGAAUUUUUAGUGUAGCGGUGAAAUGCGUAGAUAUUAAAAAGAAUACCGGUGGCGAAGGCGACUUACUGGGAUCAUUCUGACGCUGAGGAACGAAAGCGUGGGUAGCAAACAGG
RNAcentral lists this ribosomal RNA (403 nucleotides) under Fusobacteriota bacterium. Its description in RNAcentral is "Fusobacteria bacterium partial 16S ribosomal RNA". It matches the Rfam family "Bacterial small subunit ribosomal RNA", at positions 355 to 776 of the family's 1533-position model. The record is from RNAcentral. Lineage: Bacteria; Fusobacteriati; Fusobacteriota.